GAGUAUCCCCCAAAGUCCCAUCUGGAAGCUACAACAUUGCUCAGAUCACAUACGAGCUCAACGUGUUGGGCACACGCGGGCCACGGAGAAUGCACUGCAUCAUGAACUCUAUCCCAACUUCAUCUCUCGAACCGGGAGGCUCGGUUCCAAACCAACCUGAGAAACUCCUCCCGCCUCCACCGCGCUCCUUUGACGACUCGUUCCGGAGCAACAUCUCAUUCUCCAAGUCAUCAUUCGACCACCGCUCCGUAGAUUUCAGCAGCUCUAGAUUCUCGGAAAUGGGAGUGUCCUGCGAGGAAGACCAAGCAGAGACGAGUUUCAAACCGUUGGUUUUGAAGAACAAGCAGCCGAGGUGGCACGAGCAGUUGCAAUGCUGGUGUCUGAAUUUCCGUGGACGUGUGACAGUUGCGUCUGUUAAGAACUUCCAGCUUGUGGCCGUGAGACAGCCGCCGCCAACGCAAGUGGCAGGCAGCUCAGCACCAGCGGCUCCUCCAGAGCAAGACAAAGUGAUUCUCCAGUUUGGUAAAGUGGGGAAAGAUAUGUUCACAAUGGAUUAUAGGUAUCCAUUGUCAGCGUUUCAAGCAUUUGCUAUUUGCUUAAGCAGCUUUGACACCAAGCUCGCUUGUGAAUAAAGAAGAAACAACACUCGUCAUCUCCUUCAUGCUAAUCCAUGUCUCUCUUUAUCUAUGCCUUAUGGUUUCUUUUGACGAACUCAUUUUGUCUUAAUACUCAGUUGUUACUGUGGUGAGAACCAGACGUCUACUAUUAACCUCUUUUCUAUUCUAAAUCAUUUGAAAACAUCUAGUGUUUAAUCUUAACCAAGCUUACACUAUUUGCUUUGAACGUACGUGAUAAAACGAAUGCAAACAAAGUUUCACAUUGAAAGUUUAAACAAAUAAUAUAUAUAGUAUAUAAAAAGAUGUCUAAGCUAACUUUGAUUAGUUUUUUUUAGAAAUGAGUUCAAUAGCAAAUCCAUGUGAACUUGUAUCUUAGAUUUACAGUAGACAAUAUCGUACUAAACAGCUUCUAUCUUAGAUUUACACUGGACAAUAUUGUGCUAAACGGUUUUGGAAGAAUUAGACAUGGGCUAUAGAAAGCCUAACAGUAGGCUAAGUAGCCAAACCUCACAUGAAAACAGUCUAAUGCUCUACUGGAAAGAGAAUCAUUAGUAGAGAAGAAUAUGAUAUAAGCUUUAGCUCUUUGAACAUAAUGAGCCAAAUAUGUUGUACUUUUUGUGUUUCUUGCGAUCUUGUUUCUCCUUGUGUUCAUGACGUUGACGCCUUUGAUAGUUGUUCAUUCUUUCAAGAGUUUGUAUAAGACUAUUCAAGGAACCAUCAACAUCUAUGAUUUGGUUUCUUGCCAUCAAGGUCUCUGCAAGAUCAGCUGGAGUAAUCAUUGUCCCCUCCAACAGAGUCUUGAUUUUUUCGAACAGAGGAUGAUGAUCACCACAACGAUCCAGGUAGUUCUUGUUGGAAUUCAUACCGGUUUAUAACAAUUUAUAAGUCUACUUAUGAAUUCAUUUUGCCUAGAAUCUCAUGUCAAUACUGAAAUAAAUCUAGAUCUUACGGUUUUGAAUAUACCUGGUUAUUCGCAGCGGAAAUAUGAAUAAACCAAAUCGAGAUUUCUAGCACUCCAAACGUCGUGCCUCUACUAGUAUACACACGCACACAAACUGGAUCAGAACGGGAUGCUAGUGCCGUCGAGAUCAAAUCUCAGACAAAGUGAUUCUCCAGUUUGGUAAAGUGGGGAAAGAUAUGUUCACAAUGGAUUAUAGGUAUCCAUUGUCAGCGUUUCAAGCAUUUGCUAUUUGCUUAAGCAGCUUUGACACCAAGCUCGCUUGUGAAUAAAGAAGAAACAACACUCGUCAUCUCCUUCAUGCUAAUCCAUGUCUCUCUUUAUCUAUGCCUUAUGGUUUCUUUUGACGAACUCAUUUUGUCUUAAUACUCAGUUGUUACUGUGGUGAGAACCAGACGUCUACUAUUAACCUCUUUUCUAUUCUAAAUCAUUUGAAAACAUCUAGUGUUUAAUCUUAACCAAGCUUACACUAUUUGCUUUGAACGUACGUGAUAAAACGAAUGCAAACAAAGUUUCACAUUGAAAGUUUAAACAAAUAAUAUAUAUAGUAUAUAAAAAGAUGUCUAAGCUAACUUUGAUUAGUUUUUUUUAGAAAUGAGUUCAAUAGCAAAUCCAUGUGAACUUGUAUCUUAGAUUUACAGUAGACAAUAUCGUACUAAACAGCUUCUAUCUUAGAUUUACACUGGACAAUAUUGUGCUAAACGGUUUUGGAAGAAUUAGACAUGGGCUAUAGAAAGCCUAACAGUAGGCUAAGUAGCCAAACCUCACAUGAAAACAGUCUAAUGCUCUACUGGAAAGAGAAUCAUUAGUAGAGAAGAAUAUGAUAUAAGCUUUAGCUCUUUGAACAUAAUGAGCCAAAUAUGUUGUACUUUUUGUGUUUCUUGCGAUCUUGUUUCUCCUUGUGUUCAUGACGUUGACGCCUUUGAUAGUUGUUCAUUCUUUCAAGAGUUUGUAUAAGACUAUUCAAGGAACCAUCAACAUCUAUGAUUUGGUUUCUUGCCAUCAAGGUCUCUGCAAGAUCAGCUGGAGUAAUCAUUGUCCCCUCCAACAGAGUCUUGAUUUUUUCGAACAGAGGAUGAUGAUCACCACAACGAUCCAGGUAGUUCUUGUUGGAAUUCAUACCGGUUUAUAACAAUUUAUAAGUCUACUUAUGAAUUCAUUUUGCCUAGAAUCUCAUGUCAAUACUGAAAUAAAUCUAGAUCUUACGGUUUUGAAUAUACCUGGUUAUUCGCAGCGGAAAUAUGAAUAAACCAAAUCGAGAUUUCUAGCACUCCAAACGUCGUGCCUCUACUAGUAUACACACGCACACAAACUGGAUCAGAACGGGAUGCUAGUGCCGUCGAGAUCAAAUCUCAGACAAACCUUUCGUCUCUUAUUUUUUUUUUAGGGUUCUCACUUGAGCGGCCGAGAGAUAUCUUUUAACGUAAUAAUAAACAUAUAUGUGUUGAGUUAACCUAAUUACAUCACGUGGUCAUUACGUCAACGUAAUGGGAUUAGUGAUCCAAAUCCAAUUUAGAUUUAGGUCCAAUACACAAUACAUAUUUAUUAUUUCUAUUUAUCUUAUAAACAGAAAAUCAUCAAAACUCUAAUAAUAGUUUAAUCCAAAUUAAACUUAAUAAUAAUUUGAUCCAAUUUGCUUAGGUGUGUGACCCUGUAGGAUCAUAUAAUAUUAGUAAUGAAUUCUCAAUUCAUAGAUUAUAAGCGGUUUCUAGCAAAACAUUAUAACCACCUAAUAUUAUAUGACGUCGAAUCUCGACGUUACAACUUUAACUAGAGUAAGUACAACAGAUAGAUUUCAGGACAUUCCCAACCGUUCUUGGCAAGAAUCUUGAAGGCCUCGUAAGUGCAGUAAGACAACUCAAUGCGCAUAUCCAUUCUUCCUCUCCUUAUCAAAGCCGGGUCAAGUUUCUGCAAGUGGUUUGUGGUGAAAACUAUAAUCCUUUCCUGCCACAAGCCGACCAAAUACCAUCAAUGAAGUUGAGAAGCCCUGAGAGUGUCACUGAGUUUACUUCUUUGCUUUGUUCUCCAUUCUUCCUCAAGUUGUCCUUCUGGAUUCUAUUACCGGUGAGAUUCACAGAGCAAUCUAUGUCUCCAAUCACAAUAAUGGACCUGCUGAAUGUUGUUGUGAGCAUUUUCUUCAGAUCCAAGUUGUUAUGUACAGAUGUGAGAUCGAGAUCAUAGAUACAGUAGUUCAAAAGAUUAGCCAUGGCUGCUAUCAUGGUGGACUUACCGGUCCCUGGUGGUCCAUACAGCAGGUAACCCCUUUUCCAAGCUUUCCCAAUCUUCUUGUAAUACUCUUUCCCAUUAGUAAAAGCAGUUAGGUCACACAUGAUCUCUUCUUUCUUCUCUUGAUCCAUGGCUAGUGUCUCAAAACUCGCUGGAUGCUCCAACUCAAUAGAUCUAAGCUAUUUUUGUGACAUAAACUUAGAAAUGUGCUAUUUUGGAGAUUUGCCCUACUUAUAUAUAUAUAUAUAUUUUUUUUUUUUAAAAACACACUUAUAUUUUAUUUUUAGACUAAGAUAUUAUUAUGUGGAGAACUAUUUAAAUCAACAAUGUUCUGUUUUCAGUGAUAAGACUCCAAGUUCAACGGUGUUUAAAUCUCUCUUUAAUAACAAUUUGAUUAAAAGUUUAUAACAAACAAAAAAAAAGAUGUAAAAAGUCAACAUUAUCGUUGGGUCUUUGCUUGAUGCAAGGCGUAGGUCAUGCGGCCUUGUGGACAAUAAUGCUUCAAAAUGUCCACUUAUUACAAUUUUCAUUCUCUCUCUCUCUCUCUCUCUCUCUUAAAGAAAUACAAAUAUUUUAAAAAAUUAUCAUUAUAAAUUCGAUAAUAAAAUCCAGAGAAGAAGCGUUUGAGAGUAUAAUCCAAUUAAAAAGUUAAAAACUUUUUUAUUCUUUAAUUAUUUUCUUGCUGUCUCGUGAAUGAACUAUUAAAGAAAAAUCAAGAAAAGCUCCUGAGUACUGGAAAAGAAGAAGAAGACUUUAUCUUUCUUUUUGUGUGUGGUUCUUUGACUUUUAUGGGUUCUUUUGUUUUAGUUUUAGGCUCCUACGGAUCUGCUUAAAUCCUUGUGAUCUUGUUUCUUGUUUAGACCCAGAUUCUGUUCUACUUUUGCUAAGUUUCUUGAUUUGAUCGGAGAAGUUUUUAAGUAGGUUUGGUGGUUCAAGAUUUAAGCUUCUGGGUUAUCAUCACCUCCUUGUCUGAAAGGUUCAUACUUUACCCUUCUCUUUCUGUCUUUUUAUGUUUUUAUAUUCACUGAGAUUAUAUAUGCUCUAAAACCUUAAAUCACAGGUUCUUGUAACAGUUUCAUCUGAAAAUUAACUAAAAUCUUGACUUUAUAGGAAGUAAAUCAGAUGAGUUUUUGAAUAGUUUCCAGAUUGAAUUUAUAUGGUACAUAUGAAUCCGUUUUAUGUGAUCUGGAUAUAGCAUUUGGUGAAUUGAUGUCAGAUUCUCUUUGAUUAACUAUUAUUUUGUCAUAAAGAAAAAAGGUUCAUGGUUUGAUUAAAAGCUGGGUAUGUGGCCUAGUUUCUUUAUUGGGCAUGCGAUAUAUCUUUUUCUUUCCCAAAGCUGUAGCCAGUCUUCUUUCUCUUUUGGCUCUUUUACUUUUUUUUUUAUUUUUAUUUCUUAUUAAGGAGAGGUGACUCAGAUUUGCCAGGAUUUGUUUUCUUAUGUAACAGCCACUGGAUUCUCUUAUCUCAAUCUGAACAGUUCUGGUUUGUAAAGAAAGAGAAAUGUCGUUUAGGAGCAUUGUUCAAGAUUUGAGAGAUGGGCUUGGGAGCUUGUCGAGGAGGAGUUUCGAUUUCAGGCUUCACCACAAAGGGAAGUCUCAUGGCUCUUCGUUCCGUGAGUACUCGUCUUCUCUUGACCUCUCGCCUUUGAUAGUUCAGACAAGCAGAUGGGCUAAUCUUCCUCCGGAGCUGCUCUUGGACGUGAUCAAAAGACUAGAGGAGAGUGAGAGUAACUGGCCUGCAAGAAAACAUGUCGUGGCUUGUGCUUCUGUGUGUCGGUCUUGGAGAGCUAUGUGCCAAGAGAUCGUCCAUUGUCCUGAAAUCUCUGGGAAGCUCACUUUUCCAGUCUCCCUCAAACAGGUUCGCUCACUUUCGUGUCCUGUAAACAUCUUGUUAAGUUCAAAACAACUAAUGAAAAAAGUUUAUGUUUUACUCUUGUUGAUUCUUUUCAGCCAGGGCCACGUGAUGCGAUGAUUCAGUGUUUUAUCAAACGAGAUAAAUCAAAGCUAACCUUUCAUCUUUUUCUUUGUUUAAGUCCUGGUAAGUUUUGAUUGUUAGGACAUAGCUAUGCUUGUGUUUCGGAUUCACUAAAACACAAGUUAAACUAUUUUUUUUUGUUUUGUUUUUCAGCUCUAAUUGUGGAGAAUGGGAAGUUUCUUCUUUCAGCUAAACGGACUCGUAGAACUACUCGGACCGAGUACAUUAUCUCAAUGGAUGCUGAAAACAUCUCAAGAUCUAGUAACUCUUAUCUCGGAAAGCUCAGGUUCUGUCUGAAUCCUUGCUCUCUUAGUAUGAUUCUUCUGUUUUUUUUUUAAUACCAGGAGGUUCGGGGCCGAAGUCUGUAAUCCCCCAGGCCCGAAACUACAUCAUCUAAUAUUAGCUUAGUGUGAUUCACAUUCAUAUGUUUCUUUCUUUCUUUCAGAUCAAACUUUCUUGGGACGAAGUUCUUGGUGUACGAUACACAACCACCACCAGACACAUCAUCUUCUUCUUCAAGUGCACUUAUCACCGACCGAACAAGCAGAAGCAGGUUUCACUCAAGGAGAGUAUCCCCCAAAGUCCCAUCUGGAAGCUACAACAUUGCUCAGAUCACAUACGAGCUCAACGUGCUGGGCACACGCGGGCCACGGAGAAUGCACUGCAUCAUGAACUCUAUCCCAACUUCAUCUCUCGAACCGGGAGGCUCGGUUCCAAACCAACCUGAGAAACUCCUCCCGCCUCCACCGCGCUCCUUUGACGACUCGUUCCGGAGCAACAUCUCAUUCUCCAAGUCAUCAUUCGACCACCGCUCCGUAGAUUUCAGCAGCUCUAGAUUCUCGGAAAUGGGAGUGUCCUGCGAGGAAGACC
Molecule: long non-coding RNA, 6645 nt
Filed under: Brassica napus (rape)
Lineage: Eukaryota; Viridiplantae; Streptophyta; Magnoliopsida; Brassicales; Brassicaceae
Description: long non-coding RNA (BNAP_LNC026095)
Source: RNAcentral